GAAAAACAGAAGCUGCAAAAUCUUCCAAAAUGUCUGGAUGGUGGAACUCUGCUAUUUCUGCACAGUCUGUACUGUUCUCUCCCUACAGACUCUACCAACAGGCUACUACCAACUCUCCCUACAGACUCUACCAACAGGCUACUUUGAGAGCCUUCCUUCUUCCCUUUCCCUCUUACUCGAAUGAUUAAAUGCUGAGGACUGAAAAAAAAGACAGUCUCUUUCAAAAUGCAGAGAUCAACUUUGCAUAGCUUUAACACACCAGGAGCACGUAUAUUCUCUUUUCCAAAGGAUAUGACUUGCAAAGUCAGAUAACCCGUAGAUAAAGGUCACGUCCCUGAUGCAAAGCACACCUUGAUGAAGCUUUCAGGUGCCUGGCACACUAAAGCAAGAAAUUCUGUAACACAUAAUAAACAUUUCCUCACCACAUCUCUGACAUCCCCAGCAGAGUGCUUGAAGACAGAUUUUCUCAGGAUGAAUCCCAGUGAAAAAUGGAAGACUGAAACUCUUUUGGAUGUUGCUGGAGUAUGAAAAGUUCUGGUUGUUCGUCCUUUAGGAAAAGGCUCUUGGCUGAAGAGCAAGAUGAUGGAGUAGAAGCAAGAGGACAUUCUCUGGUCAUGUGGGAGGCUCUCAUGGCUACACAACCUGAAUCCUCAUCAUGAACAGCUUUGAGGAGAAAGGGAGCGACUGGGGCAGAGAAAAAUGGACACAACCUCCCAGCAGUCCAUCAGAUGCCUCCACAGACUCUUUCAAAGCUCUAUAUUCACUGAUAUACACCCAGUGUCCCUUAUCCAGUGCAGCAUCUUUGGUUUCUUUGUGGAGGGAAGAGGAGGCUGACCUUCUUAAAACAGAGGAACAUUGCAGAAUUAUCCAACACAUGAAAUUAUACUUCCAAAAAUCAGAGAUGUUCUCCAGUACUCAUUAA
RNAcentral lists this long non-coding RNA (922 nucleotides) under Chrysolophus pictus (golden pheasant). RNAcentral's name for it is "lncRNA (ENSCPIG00010007341.1)". Lineage: Eukaryota; Metazoa; Chordata; Aves; Galliformes; Phasianidae. The record is from RNAcentral.